This 332-nucleotide ribosomal RNA is filed under the name uncultured vent bacterium. RNAcentral describes it as "bacterial SSU rRNA". It matches the Rfam family "Bacterial small subunit ribosomal RNA", at positions 1042 to 1369 of the family's 1533-position model. The record is from RNAcentral.
UUUAUGGGCUGUUCGUCAGCUCGUGUCGUGAGAUGUUGGGUUAAGUCCCGCAACGAGCGCAACCCUUAUCUUUAGUUGCCAGCACUUCGGGUGGGAACUCUAAAGAGACUGCCGGUGACAAACCGGAGGAAGGUGGGGAUGACGUCAAGUCAUCAUGGCCCUUAUGGCCAGGGCUACACACGUGCUACAAUGGUCGGUACAGAGGGUAGCCAAACCGCGAGGUGGAGCCAAUCCCCCAAAGCCGAUCUUAGUCCGGAUUGCAGUCUGCAACUCGACUGCAUGAAGUCGGAAUCGCUAGUAAUCGUGGAUCAGCAUUGCCACGGGAUAUGCUU